RNAcentral lists this unclassified non-coding RNA (253 nucleotides) under uncultured Nocardiopsaceae bacterium. Its description in RNAcentral is "contains 16S-23S intergenic spacer region". It matches the Rfam family "Bacterial small subunit ribosomal RNA", at positions 524 to 776 of the family's 1533-position model. Lineage: Bacteria; Bacillati; Actinomycetota; Actinomycetes; Streptosporangiales; Nocardiopsidaceae. The record is from RNAcentral.
UACGUAGGGUCCGAGCGUUGUCCGGAAUUAUUGGGCGUAAAGAGCUCGUAGGCGGCGUGUCGCGUCUGCUGUGAAAGACCGGGGCUUAACCCCGGUUCUGCAGUGGAUACGGGCAUGCUAGAGGUAGGUAGGGGAGACUGGAAUUCCUGGUGUAGCGGUGAAAUGCGCAGAUAUCAGGAGGAACACCGGUGGCGAAGGCGGGUCUCUGGGCCUUACCUGACGCUGAGGAGCGAAAGCAUGGGGAGCGAACAGG